GGGUUGUGAGGUUAAGCGACUAAGCGUACACGGUGGAUGCCCUGGCAGUCAGAGGCGAUGAAGGACGUGCUAAUCUGCGAAAAGCGCCGGCGAGGUGAUAUGAACCUUUGACCCGGCGAUGUCCGAAUGGGGAAACCCAGUGCAAUCCGUUGCACUAUCGUUAACUGAAUACAUAGGUUAACGAGGCGAACCGGGGGAACUGAAACAUCUAAGUACCCCGAGGAAAAGAAAUCAACCGAGAUUCCCCCAGUAGCGGCGAGCGAACGGGGAGCAGCCCGGAGUCUGAAUCAGCUUGUGUGUUAGUGGAACGGUCUGGAAAGUCCGACGGUACAGGGUGAUAGUCCCGUACACGAAAAUGCACAUGCUGUGAACUCGAAGAGUAGGGCGGGACACGUGGUAUCCUGUCUGAAUAUGGGGACCAUCCUCCAAGGCUAAAUACUCCUGACUGACCGAUAGUGAACCAGUACCGUGAGGAAAGGCGAAAAGAACCCCGGCGAGGGGAGUGAAAAAGAACCUGAAACCGUGUACGUACAAGCAGUGGGAGCCUCUUUAUGGGGUGACUGCGUACCUUUUGUAUAAUGGGUCAGCGACUUAUAUUCUGUAGCAAGGUUAACCGUAUAGGGGAGCCGAAGGGAAACCGAGUCUUAACUGGGCGUUAAGUUGCAGGGUAUAGACCCGAAACCCGGUGAUCUAGCCAUGGGCAGGUUGAAGGUUGGGUAACACUAACUGGAGGACCGAACCGACUAAUGUUGAAAAAUUAGCGGAUGACCUGUGGCUGGGGGUGAAAGGCCAAUCAAACCGGGAGAUAGCUGGUUCUCCCCGAAAGCUAUUUAGGUAGCGCCUCGUGAACUCAUCUUCGGGGGUAGAGCACUGUUUCGGCUAGGGGGCCAUCCCGGCUUACCAACCCGAUGCAAACUACGAAUACCGAAGAAUGUUAUCACGGGAGACACACGGCGGGUGCUAACGUCCGUCGUGAAGAGGGAAACAACCCAGACCGCCAGCUAAGGUCCCAAAGUCAUGGUUAAGUGGGAAACGAUGUGGGAAGGCACAGACAGCCGAUGUUGGCUUAGAAGCAGCCAUCAUUUAAAGAAAGCGUAAUAGCUCACUGGUCGAGUCGGCCUGCGCGGAAGAUGUAACGGGGCUAAACCAUGCACCGAAGCUGCGGCAGCGACACUAUGUGUUGUUGGGUAGGGGAGCGUUCUGUAAGCCGUUGAAGGUGUGCUGUGAGGCAUGCUGGAGGUAUCAGAAGUGCGAAUGCUGACAUAAGUAACGAUAAAGCGGGUGAAAAGCCCGCUCGCCGGAAGACCAAGGGUUCCUGUCCAACGUUAAUCGGGGCAGGGUGAGUCGACCCCUAAGGCGAGGCCGAAAGGCGUAGUCGAUGGGAAACAGGUUAAUAUUCCUGUACUUGGUGUUACUGCGAAGGGGGGACGGAGAAGGCUAUGUCAGCCGGGCGACGGUUGUCCCGGUUUAAGCAUGUAGGCGGAGGUUCCAGGUAAAUCCGGUACCUUAUUAACGCUGAGGUGUGAUGACGAGGCACUACGGUGCUGAAGUGAUAAAUGCCCUGCUUCCGGGAAAAGCCUCUAAGCAUCAGGUAACACGAAAUCGUACCCCAAACCGACACAGGUGGUCAGGUAGAGAAUACCAAGGCGCUUGAGAGAACUCGGGUGAAGGAACUAGGCAAAAUGGUGCCGUAACUUCGGGAGAAGGCACGCUGAUGUGUAGGUGAAGCCCCUGCGGGCGGAGCUGAAAUCAGUCGAAGAUACCAGCUGGCUGCAACUGUUUAUUAAAAACACAGCACUGUGCAAACACGAAAGUGGACGUAUACGGUGUGACGCCUGCCCGGUGCCGGAAGGUUAAUUGAUGGGGUUAGCGGCAACGCGAAGCUCUUGAUCGAAGCCCCGGUAAACGGCGGCCGUAACUAUAACGGUCCUAAGGUAGCGAAAUUCCUUGUCGGGUAAGUUCCGACCUGCACGAAUGGCGUAAUGAUGGCCAGGCUGUCUCCACCCGAGACUCAGUGAAAUUGAACUCGCUGUGAAGAUGCAGUGUACCCGCGGCAAGACGGAAAGACCCCGUGAACCUUUACUAUAGCUUGACACUGAACACUGGUCCUUGAUGUGUAGGAUAGGUGGGAGGCUUUGAAGCGUGGACGCCAGUCUGCGUGGAGCCAACCUUGAAAUACCACCCUUUAAUGGCUGGUGUUCUAACGUAGACCCGUAAUCCGGGUUGCGGACAGUGUCUGGUGGGUAGUUUGACUGGGGCGGUCUCCUCCCAAAGAGUAACGGAGGAGCACGAAGGUUGGCUAAUCCUGGUCGGACAUCAGGAGGUUAGUGCAAUGGCAUAAGCCAGCUUGACUGCGAGCGUGACGGCGCGAGCAGGUGCGAAAGCAGGUCAUAGUGAUCCGGUGGUUCUGAAUGGAAGGGCCAUCGCUCAACGGAUAAAAGGUACUCCGGGGAUAACAGGCUGAUACCGCCCAAGAGUUCAUAUCGACGGCGGUGUUUGGCACCUCGAUGUCGGCUCAUCACAUCCUGGGGCUGAAGUAGGUCCCAAGGGUAUGGCUGUUCGCCAUUUAAAGUGGUACGCGAGCUGGGUUUAGAACGUCGUGAGACAGUUCGGUCCCUAUCUGCCGUGGGCGCUGGAGAAUUGAGGGGGGCUGCUCCUAGUACGAGAGGACCGGAGUGGACGCAUCACUGGUGUUCGGGUUGUCAUGCCAAUGGCACUGCCCGGUAGCUAAAUGCGGAAGAGAUAAGUGCUGAAAGCAUCUAAGCACGAAACUUGCCCCGAGAUGAGUUCUCCCUGAGACUUUAAGUCUCCUGAAGGAACGUUGAAGACGACGACGUUGAUAGGUCGGGUGUGUAAGCGCAGCGAUGCGUUGAGCUAACCGAUACUAAUGAACCGUGAGGCUUAACCUUACAACGCCGAAGGUGUUUC
This 2928-nucleotide ribosomal RNA is filed under the name Enterobacter cloacae. RNAcentral describes it as "bacterial LSU rRNA". It matches the Rfam family "Bacterial large subunit ribosomal RNA". The record is from RNAcentral. Lineage: Bacteria; Pseudomonadati; Pseudomonadota; Gammaproteobacteria; Enterobacterales; Enterobacteriaceae.